GUGACCUCAAAUCAGGUAGGACUACCCGCUGAACUUAAGCAUAUCAAUAAGCGGAGGAAAAGAAACUAACAAGGAUUCCCCUAGUAACUGCGAGUGAAGCGGGAAAAGCUCAAAUUUAAAAUCUGUCAGUCUUUUGGCUGUCCGAGUUGUAAUCUAGAGAAGUGUUAUCCGCGCUGGACCGUGUACAAGUCUCCUGGAAUGGAGCG
Molecule: ribosomal RNA, 206 nt
Filed under: Cortinarius violaceus
Lineage: Eukaryota; Fungi; Basidiomycota; Agaricomycetes; Agaricales; Cortinariaceae
Description: partial 28S large subunit ribosomal RNA
Rfam family: Eukaryotic large subunit ribosomal RNA
Source: RNAcentral